This 505-nucleotide ribosomal RNA is filed under the name uncultured bacterium. RNAcentral's name for it is "partial 16S ribosomal RNA". It matches the Rfam family "Bacterial small subunit ribosomal RNA", at positions 28 to 507 of the family's 1533-position model. The record is from RNAcentral.
GACGAACGCUGGCGGCGUGCCUAAUACAUGCAAGUAGAACGCACAGUUUAUACCGUAGCUUGCUACACCAUAGACUGUGAGUUGCGAACGGGUGAGUAACGCGUAGGUAACCUGCCUGGUAGCGGGGGAUAACUAUUGGAAACGAUAGCUAAUACCGCAUAAUAUUAAUUAUUGCAUGAUAAUUAAUUGAAAGGUGCAAUUGCACCACUACCAGAUGGACCUGCGUUGUAUUAGCUAGUAGGUGAGGUAACGGCUCACCUAGGCGACGAUACAUAGCCGACCUGAGAGGGUGAUCGGCCACACUGGGACUGAGACACGGCCCAGACUCCUACGGGGGGCAGCAGUAGGGAAUCUUCGGCAAUGGACGAAAGUCUGACCGAGCAACGCCGCGUGAGUGAAGAAGGGUUUCGGAUCGUAAAGCUCUGUUGUAAGAGAAGAACGGGUGUGAGAGUGGAAAGUUCACACUGUGACGGUAUCUUACCAGAAAGGGACGGCUAACUACGUG